This is a non-coding RNA of Nicotiana tabacum (common tobacco), 810 nucleotides long. The record is from RefSeq and is a predicted model, not a curated record. NCBI's taxonomy places the organism in Eukaryota, Viridiplantae, Streptophyta, Magnoliopsida, Solanales, Solanaceae.
UUUACUUACACUUUCUAACUUUUUUUAUUUAAAAUGACAUAUUAUUCUUCAAUUUUUGUAGAGAGUUUUCACAAACUCCAGCUAAUAACUCUCAAGAAACUUCGGAUCGGCAAUUCAUUAGUUGGUUAAAAUAAAAGGUUGAGAUGAAUCCAUCAAAAUCUCAGAAGUUUGAAAUGGAAUCAACUUCAAAGACUGUUAAGCAUUCAUUUUUUGCACCUGGCACCUUAGCAAGGGGACGAGGGCAAAGCUUCAGAACUUUGGAUUCGGUGAGAGUAAAUGCUGAACAGAGACUCCCGAUUGGCAAAAGUAAAAUUUGUAAUGCACCAGCUUCUUAUUUGAACGAACUAGCUCAGAAUAAGAGUCUUGCACCUCCUGGUUUUGAUACACUAGGAGAUGAUGUUUCCGUCCCGCAAGAAGUUGAAGUGAUGCAAGACACUUAGAGAAACGAAAUAAGUAUUUCGUUGUUUCAAGUUGUAAUAUCUUUUUGUUGUUAUUGCACUGCCACUUGCCACUUUUUUACUGUUUGACUUAAAUUUAUAAUUAUCAGGUUCAUGCGUAUCUGAAAAGGAAAAAAAGUGAGAGGAAAGAACAAGUGUAAAAAUGUUCUAGGACUCAAAGUUGGAGAAAAGUUGAGUGUCACUUUCUACAACGAUCGAGUUGUUGGGAAGCAUUCAACCUCAUUUGUGAGACACAUAGGUAUAUUAGUUUGUGACUAUAAUAUAUGCCCACUGCGCGUACAUUCAUGGGCGGACAUUGAAGAAUAUAAGCUGGACCAUAUGUGGGAAGCUGUUACUAUAAGAAUUUAAAGUA